Molecule: ribosomal RNA, 440 nt
Filed under: uncultured bacterium
Lineage: Bacteria
Description: partial 16S ribosomal RNA
Rfam family: Bacterial small subunit ribosomal RNA
Source: RNAcentral
CCUACGGGCGGCAGCAGUGGGGGAUAUUGCACAAUGGGGGAAACCCUGAUGCAGCGACGCCGCGUGAGUGAAGAAGUAUUUCGGUAUGUAAAGCUCUAUCAGCAGGGAAGAAAAUGACAGUACCUGACCAAUAAGCCCCGGCUAACUCCGUGCCAGCCGCCGCGGUAAUACGUAGGGGGCAAGCGUUAUCCGGAUUUACUGGGUGUAACGGGAGCGUAGACGGGUAAGUAAGUCUGGUGUGAAAGCCCGGGGCCCAACCCCGGGACUGCUUUUGAAACUGUGUAACUGGAGUACAGGAGGGGUAGGGGGAAUUCCUGGUGGAGGGGUAAAAUGCGUAGAUAUCAAGAGGAAUACUCGGGGCGAAGGCGGCCUGCUGGAACGUAACUGACGCUGAUGCUCGAAAGCGUGGGGAGCAAACAGGAUUAGAUACCCCAGUAGUC